This 1372-nucleotide ribosomal RNA is filed under the name uncultured bacterium. RNAcentral describes it as "bacterial SSU rRNA". It matches the Rfam family "Bacterial small subunit ribosomal RNA", at positions 28 to 1381 of the family's 1533-position model. The record is from RNAcentral.
GAUGAACGCUGGCGGCGUGCCUAAUACAUGCAAGUCGAGCGAACGGACGAGAAGCUUGCUUCUCUGAUGUUAGCGGCGGACGGGUGAGUAACACGUGGAUAACCUACCUAUAAGACUGGGAUAACUUCGGGAAACCGGAGCUAAUACCGGAUGAUAUUUUGAACCGCAUGGUUCAAAAGUGAAAGACGGUCUUGCUGUCACUUAUAGAUGGAUCCGCGCUGCAUUAGCUAGUUGGUAAGGUAACGGCUUACCAAGGCAACGAUGCAUAGCCGACCUGAGAGGGUGAUCGGCCACACUGGAACUGAGACACGGUCCAGACUCCUACGGGAGGCAGCAGUAGGGAAUCUUCCGCAAUGGGCGAAAGCCUGACGGAGCAACGCCGCGUGAGUGAUGAAGGUCUUCGGAUCGUAAAACUCUGUUAUUAGGGAAGAACAUAUGUGUAAGUAACUGUGCACAUCUUGACGGUACCUAAUCAGAAAGCCACGGCUAACUACGUGCCAGCAGCCGCGGUAAUACGUAGGUGGCAAGCGUUAUCCGGAAUUAUUGGGCGUAAAGCGCGCGUAGGCGGUUUUUUAAGUCUGAUGUGAAAGCCCACGGCUCAACCGUGGAGGGUCAUUGGAAACUGGAAAACUUGAGUGCAGAAGAGGAAAGUGGAAUUCCAUGUGUAGCGGUGAAAUGCGCAGAGAUAUGGAGGAACACCAGUGGCGAAGGCGACUUUCUGGUCUGUAACUGACGCUGAUGUGCGAAAGCGUGGGGAUCAAACAGGAUUAGAUACCCUGGUAGUCCACGCCGUAAACGAUGAGUGCUAAGUGUUAGGGGGUUUCCGCCCCUUAGUGCUGCAGCUAACGCAUUAAGCACUCCGCCUGGGGAGUACGACCGCAAGGUUGAAACUCAAAGGAAUUGACGGGGACCCGCACAAGCGGUGGAGCAUGUGGUUUAAUUCGAAGCAACGCGAAGAACCUUACCAAAUCUUGACAUCCUUUGACAACUCUAGAGAUAGAGCCUUCCCCUUCGGGGGACAAAGUGACAGGUGGUGCAUGGUUGUCGUCAGCUCGUGUCGUGAGAUGUUGGGUUAAGUCCCGCAACGAGCGCAACCCUUAAGCUUAGUUGCCAUCAUUAAGUUGGGCACUCUAAGUUGACUGCCGGUGACAAACCGGAGGAAGGUGGGGAUGGCGUCAAAUCAUCAUGCCCCUUAUGAUUUGGGCUACACACGUGCUACAAUGGACAAUACAAAGGGCAGCGAAACCGCGAGGUCAAGCAAAUCCCAUAAAGUUGUUCUCAGUUCGGAUUGUAGUCUGCAACUCGACUACAUGAAGCUGGAAUCGCUAGUAAUCGUAGAUCAGCAUGCUACGGUGAAUACGUUCCCGGGUCU